GGCAGUUCUCGGGUGACCCCUGGAAUCGGGGUCCCUUCUCUCUGGUUCUAGGUGCGUCAUCCAAGAAUCGCA
This is a non-coding RNA of Myotis lucifugus (little brown bat), 72 nucleotides long. NCBI's taxonomy places the organism in Eukaryota, Metazoa, Chordata, Mammalia, Chiroptera, Vespertilionidae. The record is from Rfam.